RNAcentral lists this ribosomal RNA (539 nucleotides) under Bifidobacterium longum subsp. suillum. Its description in RNAcentral is "bacterial SSU rRNA". It matches the Rfam family "Bacterial small subunit ribosomal RNA", at positions 144 to 697 of the family's 1533-position model. Lineage: Bacteria; Bacillati; Actinomycetota; Actinomycetes; Bifidobacteriales; Bifidobacteriaceae. The record is from RNAcentral.
UUCUCCUGGGGAAACGGGUGGUAAUGCCGGAUGCUCCAGUUGAUCGCAUGGUCUUCUGGGAAAGCUUUCGCGGUAUGGGAUGGGGUCGCGUCCUAUCAGCUUGACGGCGGGGUAACGGCCCACCGUGGCUUCGACGGGUAGCCGGCCUGAGAGGGCGACCGGCCACAUUGGGACUGAGAUACGGCCCAGACUCCUACGGGAGGCAGCAGUGGGGAAUAUUGCACAAUGGGCGCAAGCCUGAUGCAGCGACGCCGCGUGAGGGAUGGAGGCCUUCGGGUUGUAAACCUCUUUUAUCGGGGAGCAAGCGAGAGUGAGUUUACCCGUUGAAUAAGCACCGGCUAACUACGUGCCAGCAGCCGCGGUAAUACGUAGGGUGCAAGCGUUAUCCGGAAUUAUUGGGCGUAAAGGGCUCGUAGGCGGUUCGUCGCGUCCGGUGUGAAAGUCCAUCGCUUAACGGUGGAUCCGCGCCGGGUACGGGCGGGCUUGAGUGCGGUAGGGGAGACUGGAAUUCCCGGUGUAACGGUGGAAUGUGUAGAUAU